This 900-nucleotide ribosomal RNA is filed under the name uncultured bacterium. RNAcentral describes it as "bacterial SSU rRNA". It matches the Rfam family "Bacterial small subunit ribosomal RNA", at positions 8 to 907 of the family's 1533-position model. The record is from RNAcentral.
AGAGUUUGAUCCCUGGCUCAGGAUGAACGCUGGCGGCGUGCCUAACACAUGCAAGUCGAGCGGUAUAUAUCUGAACAAAUCUUCGGAAGAGUGACGGUAUAGAGAGCGGCGGACGGGUGAGUAACGCGUAGGCAACCUGCCCCAUACAGAGGGAUAGCCUCGGGAAACCGGGAUUAAAACCUCAUAAUGCGAAGGAUUCACAUGUUUCCUUCGCCAAAGAUUUAUCGGUAUGGGAUGGGCCUGCGUCUGAUUAGCUAGUUGGUGGGGUAACGGCCUACCAAGGCAACGAUCAGUAGCCGACCUGAGAGGGUAAUCGGCCACAUUGGAACUGAGACACGGUCCAAACUCCUACGGGAGGCAGCAGUGGGGAAUAUUGCACAAUGGGCGAAAGCCUGAUGCAGCAACGCCGCGUGAGCGAUGAAGGCCUUUGGGUCGUAAAGCUCUGUCCUUGGGGAAGAAAAAAAUGACGGUACCCUUGGAGGAAGCCCCGGCUAACUACGUGCCAGCAGCCGCGGUAAUACGUAGGGGGCAAGCGUUAUCCGGAAUUAUUGGGCGUAAAGAGUGCGUAGGUGGUUUUGUAAGCGCGAGGUGAAAGGCAAUAGCUCAACUAUUGUAAGCCUUGCGAACUGUGAGACUUGAGUGCAGGAGAGGAAAGUGGAAUUCCUAGUGUAGCGGUGAAAUGCGUAGAUAUUAGGAGGAACACCAGUGGCGAAGGCGACUUUCUGGACUGUUACUGACACUGAGGCACGAAAGCGUGGGGAGCAAACAGGAUUAGAUACCCUGGUAGUCCACGCCGUAAACGAUGAGCACUAGGUGUCGGGGCCGCAAGGUUUCGGUGCCGCAGUUAACGCAUUAAGUGCUCCGCCUGGGGAGUACGCACGCAAGUGUGAAACUCAAAGG